AACAAACCACCAAGAGCUUCAAGGAUCUAACCGAUACUGUUUUCGAGUUUCCCGGGUUUAAGUCUCCUCUCAAGGCCUCCCACAUGCCUGAGCCAAUGCUUGACCGAGACGACCCUGCGUAUUGGGACAUGCUCUACUUUUGCUCACACCUUCCCAAAUCUAAUGGGAUCAUAGUCAACACGUUCGAAGAGCUGGAGCCUCCUGCAGUCCUCAAAGCCAUUUCUGGAGGUCUUUGUGUUCCUGAUGCUCCCACUCCUCCCGUCUUCUACAUUGGGCCAUUGAUUGCUGAAGAAAAACAAUCUGGUGAUGCCGCUGAGGGGGAAGUUUGUUUGUCAUGGCUUGAUAAACAGCCAAGUCGAAGCGUGGUGUUUCUCUGUUUUGGAAGCAGGGGAUCAUUCUCAGGGGCUCAAUUGAAGGAGAUGGCAGAUGGGUUGGAGAAGAGUGGGCAGAGGUUUUUGUGGGUGGUGAAGAAGCCUCCCCUUGAUGAGAAAACCAAGCAGGUCCAUGGAGUUCAUGACUUUGAUUUGGAGGGUUUGCUGCCAGAAGGGUUCUUGGAGAGGACCAAAGAUAGGGGCUUGGUGGUGAAGUCAUGGGCUCCGCAGGUGGCGGUGUUGAAGAAGGAAUCGGUGGGCGGGUUUGUGACGCAUUGUGGCUGGAACUCGGUGCUUGAAGCAGUGAUCGCCGGCGUGUCGAUGGUGGCGUGGCCGCUCUACGCAGAGCAGCACAUGAAUAGGAGUGUUUUGGUGAAGGAAAUGGAGAUGGCGAUUGCUGUGGAGCAGAGAGAGGAAGAUGGGUUUGUAUUUGGGGAUGAAUUGGAGAGAAGGGUUAGGGAGCUGAUGGAGUCAGAAAAAGGGAGAGAGCUUAGAGAAAGGAGCCGGAAAAUGGGAGAGAUGGCUUUGGCUGCUUGGGGUGAGUCUGGUUCGUCCACUAGAAACUUGGUCAACUUUGUUAAUAGCAUUACACUAAGUUUCGGAUUGCAUAAGUAAAUUACCAAGGGUGUACCUUCUCGUUGUUAACAAAUUUUCACUGUAUAUAUAAUCAUAAUCUGAACCGUCAUUUUCUUGUAUGAUUUGAACAUGUUAUGCAACUAACAAGACACUAUUUUGCAAGAAAAUUGAUAAUUUGUAUCAUGCUUUGCAAGGAGCUCUCGAUCCCAUCCAAGAUUUGGCUGUGCCAACGAAAUAUAUGAAAAAAACAACAACAACAACCAAAAAAAAAAAAAGUUAACAUAAGGGAUCACAAGCCUUUAUAUUUAGCCUUGGUAUGCAGUAUUUACAUAAUAAAUACAUUUAGAACACAUCUUUUUUGGCCUUAUUUUUUGCUAUUGGUUUUGUCCUUCUUCAUCCUUUUUUGAGGGCUCUUUUCAUACUUGAGACUUGGAAAAAAUAAGUGAUAGUUUAAAUUAUACUACAAAGGGGAUGAGAGUUUCUGCAGAGUUUCUGAAUUCUUGCCUUAUCAACACAGCUUAACACAAGGUCCACUCCACUGCCUUCUUUAUUUGGGCGGAAUGAUUUAUAUAUUACAACUAUUGUCAUUGUCAAGUAACAUUUGAGUCUGGUUGUGGACAACUUGUAACAUGAUAAUUCUCCAUCUUCUCGUCAUUGUAAAUCCAGCAGGCUGGCUUGGCUUGUGUGCUCGUCGAUUUCGAGAUCAAAGUUAGGAAUCAGAGGGGAAGAAGGAAUGGGAUGAUUCCUGAUUCGGAUAAACUAAAAACUGAAAAAAGGAAGAAAGAAAGUUGUCUCACAUUGAUUAAUUGCUCUCCGAGUAAGCUCCUUAUAAUUGUGAGUCUACCACAUUAGUUUUCAAGAAACUGGAUCCUAAACCCAGAUAAUGUUGGCCUAUAGUGAGAAAUAAAAAACACUCUCUAACGUGUUUAAAUUUUGGGAAAUAAAAUAUGACUUGUCUUGUGUUAAGUGAUUAGAUCUACUGGUUCAAAUUAAUCGAAAUGAUAAUAAAUGAAAGGAGCUUAUAUGCAAAGGCUCAGGAUUCUUCAAUAUUCGAACUCAUUGUUUUAUUUUUAGGAGCCUCUAUUUAGUAUCCACGUAUUUAUCCGCAUUUCACUUCAUCUUAGUCCUUGUAAUAAUCAAACGACUUAUAAGAUGAUACCUCAACUACCAUAAAAUUAGUUUAAUUUUAACAGUCUAAUAGUCCAAUUUUACCCUUCUAAUAAAAUUAAGAAACAAAACAAGAAACAAAACCCGGUCCUGGCGGAAGAAGGGAGGAUCUUUGGGACCUCAGGAAGGUUUGUGUAGGUUCCAAGAGGUUGGGAUGGGUUUGUGUAUGCUCCUCAACCUCACUUGGAGAUGAUGUUUUUGGUACUGUUGCAAAUGUAGCUGCAAAAAGUACUGUUGCAAUUGCUGAGUCGUUUUGGUGGGUGAUUUGGGGUUUUGAUAUUUUCAUGAAUUGGUUAAUUAAAUGGAUCCUCAACAAACUUUUUCUUGUCAAAUUUCUUCCUAUAUUUUGAUUGCUUUAUGAAUUUGGUGCUGAUUUGGUUAUUAUGUGUUUCUUGUCAAAUAAAUAACCAUAUUCAAGUAUUUUUUUUUUUUGGCCAAAAUUAAGACGGGGAAUUUCUCAUACACACAAAUACUACAAAUGUGUCAUGAGUGUUUGAACAUGACACCACUAAUUUACAAGUUAAGAUAAUUUUCUACUGAGCUAUAUCCCGUUGGCAUAUUGAAACAUAAUUAAUUUACAACAAACUACCAAAUUAAUAAAAACAUAAAUAUACGGAUUAAAUAAUAUAGUUUUUUUUUUUUGGGUUAGAAUAAUAUGAUAAUUUUGGAACACUAAAAAUUCCAAUAACCGAUGAUUCUUGGUGAUACUCUAGAAUAUUUUAUUUGAAAAAUAAACCACCAAAUGAAUAAAAGCAUAAAUUUAAGAUUAAAUAACAAGGCUAAUUUUGAACCACUAACAUUCCAACAUGCCCAAAGAAUAUCUUAUUCCAAUAAAUAAAUAAAACCAUUUUCCCUUUUUCUUAUGAUCAUGAUUAUAUGUCCCAAUCUCAGUGUAAAGAUAUCCCCAAAAUAAAAACGAAAUGAAAACAAGAAAAACAAAAGCAAAAAGAAAGAAGAAAUCCUUCUAUUAUUAUUGAUGGUCAGAAUCAGCCAAUCACUGUCAACGUCACAAUUGCAAUCGUCGUUUUGGUGUACAGCCUGAGCCUGUGCCCUCGUGCUUCACCUAACUUUCACGGAGUUGAAUUUCCGUUCCACCUACUCUGCGUGUAGAGUAUUUCAAAACCUCACCAGAAGAGAAGCCAAACACAAAUCAACCAAAAGCCAUGGAAGAAGACACAAUAGUCCUCUACGCAGCUCCAGGAAUGGGGCACAUAAUCUCCAUGGUUGAGCUAGGCAAGCUCAUUCUCAAUCGCUACCCCAAAAAAUUCUCCAUCACUAUUCUCUACACCUGCGGCAGCGUUGUGGAUACUCCAAGCAUCCCCGCCUACAUCCACCGUAUCUCCCUAGCCCAUCCUUCCAUGUCCUUCCGCCAAUUCCCUCGCGUUCAAAAUGAAAAUACAUCAUUAAUUGGCCGCAGCGGCGCUGCCAUAAUGUUCGAUUUCAUCCGCCGGAAUGAUCCUCAUGUCCGCCUUGCCCUCCUAGAGAUCUCCAAAUCUUCAGCCAUUCGCGCUUUUAUCAUUGACAUCUUCUGCUCCACUGCGCUGCCAAUGGCGAAGGAACUCGGCAUUCCCACCUACUACUUUUACACUUCCGGCGCUGCAGCUCUUGCGGCUUUUCUGUAUUUCCCGAAAAUCGGGGAACAAACCACCAAGAGCUUCAAGGAUCUAACCGAGACUGUUUUCGAGUUUCCUGGGUUUAAGUCUCCUCUCAAGGCCUCCCACAUGCCUGAGCCAAUGCUUGACCGAGACGACCCUGCGUAUUGGGACAUGCUCUACUUUUGCUCACACCUUCCCAAAUCUAAUGGGAUCAUAGCCAACACGUUCGAAGAGCUGGAGCCUCCUGCAGUCCUCAAAGCCAUUGCUGGAGGUCUUUGUGUUCCUGAUGCUCCCACUCCUCCCGUCUUCUACAUUGGGCCAUUGAUUGCUGAAGAAAAAC
This 4049-nucleotide long non-coding RNA is filed under the name Prunus persica (peach). RNAcentral describes it as "long non-coding RNA (PPER_LNC001657)". The record is from RNAcentral. Lineage: Eukaryota; Viridiplantae; Streptophyta; Magnoliopsida; Rosales; Rosaceae.